UGAUUUCUCUUCAGAUCAUGUAAAUAUUUUGCCCUUUACUAAAGAUUUCCAUGGAGAGGAACAAUUUA
Molecule: non-coding RNA, 68 nt
Organism: Phalacrocorax carbo (great cormorant)
Lineage: Eukaryota; Metazoa; Chordata; Aves; Suliformes; Phalacrocoracidae
Source: Rfam